GGGAUAACAUUUGGAAACAGAUGCUAAUACCGAAUAAAACUUAGUAUCGCAUGAUAUCAAGUUAAAAGGCGCUACGGCGUCACCUAGAGAUGGAUCCGCGGUGCAUUAGUUAGUUGGUGGGGUAAAGGCUUACCAAGACAAUGAUGCAUAGCCGAGUUGAGAGACUGAUCGG
This 172-nucleotide ribosomal RNA is filed under the name Leuconostoc sp. RNAcentral's name for it is "partial 16S ribosomal RNA". It matches the Rfam family "Bacterial small subunit ribosomal RNA", at positions 140 to 307 of the family's 1533-position model. Lineage: Bacteria; Bacillati; Bacillota; Bacilli; Lactobacillales; Lactobacillaceae. The record is from RNAcentral.